UACGUAGGGGGCAAGCGUUGUCCGGAUUUACUGGGCGUAAAGCGUGCGCAGGCGGUUCGUUGUGUCUGAUGUGAAAGCCCCGGGCUCAACCUGGGAAUGGCAUUGGAAACUGGCGAGCUAGAGUGUGGCAGAGGGGGGUGGAAUUCCGCGUGUAGCAGUGAAAUGCGUAGAGAUGCGGAGGAACACCGAUGGCGAAGGCAGCCCCCUGGGCUGACACUGACGCUCAGGCACGAAAGCGUGGGGAGCAAACAGG
This 253-nucleotide ribosomal RNA is filed under the name uncultured bacterium. Its description in RNAcentral is "partial 16S ribosomal RNA". It matches the Rfam family "Bacterial small subunit ribosomal RNA", at positions 524 to 776 of the family's 1533-position model. The record is from RNAcentral.